AUUGAACGCUGGCGGCAGGCCUAACACAUGCAAGUCGAACGGUAACAGGAAACAGCUUGCUGUUUCGCUGACGAGGGGCGGACGGGUGAGUAAUGUCUGGGAAACUGCCUGAUGGAGGGGGAUAACUACUGGAAACGGUAGCUAAUACCGCAUAACGUCGCAAGACCAAAGAGGGGGACCUUCGGGCCUCUUGCCAUCGGAUGUGCCCAGAUGGGAUUAGCUAGUAGGUGGGGUAACGGCUCACCUAGGCGACGAUCCCUAGCUGGUCUGAGAGGAUGACCAGCCGCACUGGAACUGAGACACGGUCCAGACUCCUACGGGAGGCAGCAGUGGGGAAUAUUGCACAAUGGGCGCAAGCCUGAUGCAGCCAUGCCGCGUGUAUGAAGAAGGCCUUCGGGUUGUAAAGUACUUUCAGCGGGGAUGAAGGGAGUAAAGUUAAUACCUUCGCUCAUUGACGUUACCCGCAGAAGAAGCACCGGCUAACUCCGUG
Molecule: ribosomal RNA, 490 nt
Filed under: uncultured bacterium
Lineage: Bacteria
Description: partial 16S ribosomal RNA
Rfam family: Bacterial small subunit ribosomal RNA
Source: RNAcentral